GAUUAUAAAGGUCCCCUUGCAAAGCUCUUUGCUUCACACUCCCCCAUCUCACAAAAAGCAAACAAAAUGUCCCUCCCUUCUACUCAUCUUCCCCUAUUUUCUACUGAGGUCAUAGCAUAGGUACCUAGCCUGAGUUUCAAUUUCCAAUCUUUAAUUUUCUCCAUUUUUAUCGCAAGAAUGAAACUUGCCAUCUUAGUCAUUGUCUUCCUAUUCCUCUCAUGGGUAAAUUCCAAGGGCUGGGCUUCCAGUUCCAGUAGUAUGGACAAUUAUUAUGUUAGAGAUGCAUGUAGUGUGACUAGGUAUCAGGACCUCUGUAUCCACUCGCUAGCUUCAUUUUCACGAACAGCUAGGAGAAGUCCUAGCAAGUGGGCUCGGGCAGGGGUCUCAGUCACAAUAGGUGAGGCUAAAAACGCUAGUCAAUACCUGAUCAAAUUGAAGAAAUACAAAAUCAUGAGAGACAGCAGAAACAUGAUUGCCCUUUCAGAUUGCAUUGAGAACUUCCAGGAUACAAUUGACAAUCUUCACAAAUCACUUGGAGUACUCAGGAAACUUGAUGCCACCAACUUCGAAAAUCAAAUGGGCGAUGUAACUACAUGGAUGAGUGCUGCACUUACUGAUGAGGACACUUGCCUGGAUGGUUUUGAGGACCAAAACCCUCCUAAACAAGUUAUAAAAGUGCUUCAGAACAGAGUCACAAGAGUCGCCUACAUUACCAGCAACGCGCUGGCUCUUGUAAACAAACUUUCAUCUACUGGUUUGGGAAGCCUUACUUAUUAAUCCACAGUUAUUAAGAAUUUUUUUUUAGAAUUAAUUUAAUCCCAGAUUAUAAUAUUAUUGGAAUAAUCAAGCUAGCCUAAUAUCUUUAGGCUGUGUAUGUUCUGUUUUUAUGUGAAUACAUACAGCCUUUGCUGUAAUAUGUACUUAUUUAUCAUUCAAGUUUGAACUUUUUCUUGGGUUUAAUGCGAUUAGUAGCUAACUCUGUUACUAUGGUUGGGAUAGACCAAAAUGUUAUGAAUAUUCUUUUGUUUAUUAACAUUCUGUUACAGUACAUAUUCUGUGGUUGUUUCAGUGUAAUUAAGUAAGUGGCCUCUGCAAGGGGACCAUGAUCCAUGAAAAUGGGUGCUAUCGUCUCAAACAACAGACAUAUUAGAACUGUUCCAUUAUCCGACUGUACUCUUAUGAUCCCCACACCAUGUGUGUACCAGAAUCAGUGUCUAAUAUCUAAGAUGUGCCACUUUUACAGUGUUACUGGCUCUGCUUUCACAAACAUUGUCACGAGUAGCAGAAUAAAUAAUUGUUUAC
RNAcentral lists this unclassified non-coding RNA (1302 nucleotides) under Hevea brasiliensis (rubber tree). Lineage: Eukaryota; Viridiplantae; Streptophyta; Magnoliopsida; Malpighiales; Euphorbiaceae. The record is from RNAcentral.